CCGCAGCCAAUCAAGCCGACCAUGCUGCCCUCCCCAUGGCGCUCGGUGUGCACUGCUCCUGGUAAUGCCUGCGGCUGCGGCUAGUGUAGCUGCCUUGAGGGGCCCUGGAGACGCCC
RNAcentral lists this small nucleolar RNA (116 nucleotides) under Erinaceus europaeus (western European hedgehog). RNAcentral's name for it is "Small nucleolar RNA SNORA70". It matches the Rfam family "Small nucleolar RNA SNORA70". Rfam says of the family: snoRNA U70 seems to be exclusive to mammals and is a member of the H/ACA class of snoRNA which contain H (ANANNA) and ACA box motifs. H/ACA box snoRNAs are involved in the conversion of uridines to pseudouridines (5-ribosyluracil) a constituent of structural RNAs (transfer, ribosomal, small nuclear, and small nucleolar). The record is from Rfam by way of RNAcentral. Lineage: Eukaryota; Metazoa; Chordata; Mammalia; Eulipotyphla; Erinaceidae.